This 1265-nucleotide long non-coding RNA is filed under the name Ananas comosus (pineapple). RNAcentral describes it as "long non-coding RNA (ACOM_LNC030889)". The record is from RNAcentral. Lineage: Eukaryota; Viridiplantae; Streptophyta; Magnoliopsida; Poales; Bromeliaceae.
UAUCAGUAUAAUCCUAAUUUGAGUUAGUCAACGAUAUUUUAACUUCAAAAUUUGAAUGUGUUAUUUAUCUUUACAGAUUUUGUUAGUAUACUUUGUGUAAUUCUUGUAAUUAUAAAUUAAUUAAAGUAAGUAAUUAGUUUAAAUUUUGAGCUUAAAAUAUUGCUGACCGACUAAAAUCAAACAAAUUGAAAAGCUAAAUAGUAAAAAUCAAAAUUUUGAAGAAUUAAAUAUCUAACUCAAAAUAGUAUAUAGUUCACAUAAGUUUUGUACAUUUUUACCAUAUCAAAUUAAGGAAUAAUUGCCUAUAUACCCAUCAAUAUUUAAUUUACCCCUACUUUUUUUUUUCUUUCUAAAAUACCUUUCAUAUGUUUCAUCGUUAUUGCAAAAUACCCCCGCAGUUAUCUCCUGUUAAGUUAACUUGGGUUAAACGUGAGUUAAACAUCUACCACAAUUAAAAAAAAUUAAAAUGUCAAUUUUACCCUUAACUUAAGGGCAAAUAAGAAAUGUUGGUGACGGUAGAGGGGUAUAUUGGAAAAGGCCAAAGGUCAAAAUACUUUUUGUGCUCCUGACUUUAAGGGCAAAUAAGAAAGUCAGUGAUGGUGGAAGGGUAUAUUUGAAAGGGCAAAAUAGUAAUUUUACAGAGUUAACAAAGUUAAUUAACAGAUUUUAACUCUAGAAAUAUAUAAAAUAGGUUGGAACGUAAAGAGGGUAUUUUCAAUAUUAGUCUUCUAAGAAGGAUAAAUUGGAAAGUCGGAAACUUUUCAGAGGUAUAUAAGCAAUUGCCCCUAAAAUUAAAGCAGAGCUAUUAAAGGUAACUAAGGACACAUUAGUAGGGCAACGGGUCGGAUUCGGAGCGAAUUUUUAAAACCUCAACCUGAAUCUAACUACUAGAAUCAAAAUCCGAAUCCGAACCCGUCGGAUUUUAAAAAUUCAUAAACAAAAUCGAACCUCACAAAAAAGAACCAAAUCUGAAACCAAAUCAGAAAACGCAAACCUCAAUGCAAUCAUUUCCCUUUACCAAAUUUUAAGUUAUGUUAUAGUCAAAUCUAAAAUUUUGAAGUACAAAUUCAAAUUUCUAAAUGAAAUCGUUUUGGGUAGGAAUUCGGGUUCAGAUUUGGUUUCGAAUAGGGUACAGAUAAAAAUCAUACCCAAACAUAAGUUUAUCGAAUUCUCGGUUUUUAUAUAAAUAACCGAAACAAUACCUGUUUAGCAUCUAUUAAAUCCGUCGAAUUCGAAUUCUGAUUCAAAUAAAAUUUCUGAUAUAG